AUGGGCGACAGCUCGGCGUUCCCGGGCUUCCACAGCCAGUACAGCUACGACCGCGACUACGCGCGCCCGCUCUUCCGCGUCGCCUCCUUCUCCUCCGAGAGAGGCGGCGACGAGCACCAGCACAUGGCCCGCACGGCGUCCUUCAAGGUGACCGCGGCGCCGUCGCGCCUCUCGCAGGCGAUGAGCAAGCUGAGCAUGAAGAAGCUGCAGCAGGCCGUCGACGAGAGGUCCGUGGAAGACGAAGAAAUGGAGCUGAUGAAGGAGAAGUACACCAAGCUGCUUCUCGGGGAGGACAUGUCCGGCGGCGGCAAGGGCGUCUGCACCGCCGUCGCAAUCUCCAACGCCAUCACCAACCUAUAUGCAACUGUGUUUGGGACCUGCCACAGGUUGCAGUCACUGCCCCCUGAGAAGAGAUCAAUGUGGAACCGAGAGAUGGACUGCCUCCUCUCCAUCUGCGAGUACAUCGUCGAGUUCGCGCCGACGGUCCAGGCCAGACCCGACGGAAGCACACACGAUGUGAUGGCAACCUCGCCACGGUCAGACAUCCUGAUGAACCUCCCCGCACUGGAGAAGCUAGAAACCAUGCUCCUUGGCAUAUUGGACAGCUUUGACAAGGCGGAGUUCUGGUACGCGGACCAGAGGAAGCAGUCCUUCAGCGAAACCAAGAAGCCGUCGUUCAAGCGCAACGAGGACAAGUGGUGGUUGCCCGAGCCAUGCGUGCCGGAAUCAGGCCUCUCCGACUCUCUGCACCGCGAGCUGCAGCACAAGCGGGACCAGGCUAGCCAGAUCCACAAGAUGGCCAUGGAGAUCAACAAUGCCAUCCUCUCCGAAAUGCAAAUCCCGUCCUCAUACAUUGAAACGCUUCCCAAGACCGGGAAAGUCGGGACAGGCGACGCCAUAUACCGGUACAUGUCCUCAGGGGACCAGUUCUCGCCGGACCACCUCCUCGACUUCCUCAACUUGAGCUCCGAGCACGAGGCGCUCGAGAUCGCCGACCGUGUCGAGGCUGCUAUGUACGUGUGGAGAAGGAAAGCUAGCAUGACCCACGUGGUGACCAAAUGGGAGAAUGUCACCGAGCUGAAUGCCGACGGGGACAAGAACUUGAUCCUAGCAAGCAGGGCCAGGAGCCUGCUGCUGUGCUUGAAACAAAGGUUUCCGGGCCUCUCACAAACCACCCUCGACACAAGCAAGAUUCAGUACAAUAAGGACAUUGGACAGGCGAUACUCGAAAGCUACUCAAGGGUGCUCGAAAGUUUGGCCUACAGUAUUGUCUCCUGGAUAGAUGAUGUUCUCCUUGCAGAUGAAAAUGCAAAGCAAGGGAAUAGCACCAGAAUACAGAAGCAAGUAUUCAGCCAGGUCUCUCCUCAACGCUGA
This 1374-nucleotide ribosomal RNA is filed under the name Triticum aestivum (bread wheat). Its description in RNAcentral is "partial small subunit ribosomal RNA". Lineage: Eukaryota; Viridiplantae; Streptophyta; Magnoliopsida; Poales; Poaceae. The record is from RNAcentral.